GAUGAACGCUGGCGGCGUGCCUAAUACAUGCGAGUCGAGCGAACGGACGAGAAGCUUGCUUCUCUGAUGUUAGCGGCGGACGGGUGAGUAACACGUGGAUAACCUACCUAUAAGACUGGGAUAACUUCGGGAAACCGGAGCUAAUACCGGAUAAUAUUUUGAACCGCAUGGUUCAAAAGUGAAGGACGGUCUUGCUGUCACUUAUAGAUGGAUCCGCGCUGCAUUAGCUAGUUGGUAAGGUAACGGCUUACCAAGGCAACGAUGCAUAGCCGACCUGAGAGGGUGAUCGGCCACACUGGAACUGAGACACGGUCCAGACUCCUACGGGAGGCAGCAGUAGGGAAUCUUCCGCAAUGGGCGAAAGCCUGACGGAGCAACGCCGCGUGAGUGAUGAAGGUCUUCGGAUCGUAAAACUCUGUUAUUAGGGAAGAACAUAUGUGUAAGUAACUGUGCACAUCUUGACGGUACCUAAUCAGAAAGCCACGGCUAACUACGUG
RNAcentral lists this ribosomal RNA (497 nucleotides) under uncultured bacterium. RNAcentral describes it as "partial 16S ribosomal RNA". It matches the Rfam family "Bacterial small subunit ribosomal RNA", at positions 28 to 507 of the family's 1533-position model. The record is from RNAcentral.